CAAAGUGCUCAUAGUGCAGGUAGUUUUGGCAUGACUCUACUGUAGUAUGGGCACUUCCAGU
RNAcentral lists this microRNA precursor (61 nucleotides) under Pongo abelii (Sumatran orangutan). RNAcentral describes it as "Pab-Mir-17-P4c_pre stem-loop". It matches the Rfam family "mir-17 microRNA precursor family", at positions 11 to 70 of the family's 80-position model. From Rfam's summary of the family: This family represents the microRNA (miRNA) precursor mir-17, family, which includes mir-20, mir-91, and mir-103. miRNAs are transcribed as ~70nt precursors (modelled here) and subsequently processed by the Dicer enzyme to give a ~22nt product. In this case the mature sequence comes from the 3' arm of the precursor. The record is from RNAcentral. Lineage: Eukaryota; Metazoa; Chordata; Mammalia; Primates; Hominidae. RNAcentral also lists the same sequence under 1 other name.